RNAcentral lists this ribosomal RNA (467 nucleotides) under uncultured bacterium. Its description in RNAcentral is "partial 16S ribosomal RNA". It matches the Rfam family "Bacterial small subunit ribosomal RNA", at positions 28 to 506 of the family's 1533-position model. The record is from RNAcentral.
GACGAACGCUGGCGGCGUGCUUAACACAUGCAAGUCGAACGGAAAGGCCCUGCUUUUGUGGGGUGCUCGAGUGGCGAACGGGUGAGUAACACGUGAGUAACCUGCCCUUGACUUUGGGAUAACUUCAGGAAACUGGGGCUAAUACCGGAUAGGAGCUCCUGCUGCAUGGUGGGGGUUGGAAAGUUUCGGCGGUUGGGGAUGGACUCGCGGCUUAUCAGCUUGUUGGUGGGGUAGUGGCUUACCAAGGCUUUGACGGGUAGCCGGCCUGAGAGGGUGACCGGCCACAUGGGGACUGGGAUACGGCCCAGACUCCUACGGGAGGCAGCAGUGGGGAAUAUUGCACAAUGGGCGGAAGCCUGAUGCAGCAACGCCGCGUGCGGGAUGACGGCCUUCGGGUUGUAAACCGCUUUCGCCUGUGACGAAGCGUGAGUGACGGUAAUGGGUAAAGAAACACCGGCUAACUACGU